This is a long non-coding RNA of Eriocheir sinensis (Chinese mitten crab), 1149 nucleotides long. RefSeq lists it as uncharacterized. The transcript has 3 exons. The record is from RefSeq and is a predicted model, not a curated record. NCBI's taxonomy places the organism in Eukaryota, Metazoa, Arthropoda, Malacostraca, Decapoda, Varunidae.
CCCGCCUGCGUCACGACUUGCUCUGCUGAAAUUACCGCACCAUAACCACGUCAUCUGCCCCAAUGAUCUACGGGCCGGGGAACCAGCGCAGAAAAGGAGUAAGUUUAAUUGGUCGCCAGAUGAAACGGUCUUCUUACAUCAAAUUCAUGAAAAAAUACGUAUAAUCAGAGGGUGUUAUGGGAAGAGUAUCACCCCUGAGGAUAAGAAGAGAGCGUGGACUGAAGUGGCAGAAGCUGUAACAAGUGCCUUCCCUGGGAGUGGACCCCGUACGCAGGAUGACUGUGAGAGGCGUUGGUACAACGUACAACAAAAAUCAAAGCCUCGCGUUGCCAAGUGCAAGAAUGAGCAGCGGCAGACUGCCCCGCUGCUGUAUUGCUAGAGACCAUCCCAGCACAUUGUUCAUUACUUGUGGAAAAGAUACCAUCAGCUGCUCCGGCAACAGCCAGUGCUUCAACAUCUGCUGGCCCUAUGACACCAGCCACUGCUUCAUCAUCUGCUGGCCCAAUGACUCCUGCUACUGCAAGGGAUGACACUGAAGCUGCUCCACCACAGUCACCACCUACUUCAUCGGAGUUAAGAGAUGCCUUUCAUAGGGCAGCAGUAUAAUUUUUUGAUGCUGGGGCUGAAUAUUACUGCCUCAAGGCUAUGAUUUUGUCACUUUUUUCUAUUACUGAGAAGGUUGAAAAAUAAUCUCUGCUGUUUUUCGACAGAAAUGGUUAGCAAAUUCAUUCAAAGCACAAAAUUUACCAGAAAAAAAAUUGUGUGCCAUUGUGAGUGGGUUCACUUGAGAUUGGGCUCCAAUACGCCUCCGUGGUCUAGUGGUCAGCAUGCCUGGCUUCUACGCGGGCCCCGGUUCGAAUCCCGGCCCGGGCAGUCGGCGUGCAGCUCACCCAGCUGAUCAUCCUCCCUCUCGGGGUGGUCGAUAAAUGACUACCUGGGGAAACCUGGGGAAACAGUGAUAACCCGGAUGUCACACUGGCCCUGUGUCCCGGGGUAAUGGGCUCCCUCCCACCACAGGCUCAAGGGCCAGUGUUACGGAGAUGAGCACCGAGGCCACGCGCUGCUACAGCGUAUGCCCCAACUUUACCUUUACCUUUAUUGGCUCGACUGACAGACAUGGCUUUGUAUGUCGAAGGUCGCUGGUUCAAU